GACGUAGGAGGCGAGCGUUGUCCGGAUUCAUUGGGCGUAAAGAGCGUGUAGGCGGUCCGGUAAGUCCGCUGUGAAAGUCGGGGGCUCAACCCUCGAAUGCCGGUGGAUACUGUCGGGCUAGAGUGCGGAAGAGGCGAGUGGAAUUCCUGGUGUAGCGGUGAAAUGCGCAGAUAUCAGGAGGAACACCUAUUGCGAAGGCAGCUCGCUGGGACGUCACUGACGCUGAGACGCGAAAGCGUGGGGAGUAAACAGG
Molecule: ribosomal RNA, 253 nt
Filed under: uncultured bacterium
Lineage: Bacteria
Description: partial 16S ribosomal RNA
Rfam family: Bacterial small subunit ribosomal RNA
Source: RNAcentral